GUCUAACCUGCCCGGUGAGGUGAGCUUAAACGGUCGCAGUUGUACUGUGCUAAGGUAGCGUAAUAGAUCGUCCUUUAAUUGGGGAAAGGUAUGAAUGGUUGGAUGAUGGAAAGACUUUAUUAGAGGUAUGUUUUGAAAUUUACUUCUAGGUGCAAAGGCUUAGAUAUUAAUACUAGACGAGAAGACCCUGUUGAGCUUGGUAAUUGCCUCUAUCAUGUAGAGGUAAUAUGUUUUCUCGGGGCCGAGUGGAAGGGACUUGAUUUCUUCCUAAUUUAAUCAUUGAUCCAGCAUGGCUGAUAGGAGGAAGAUAGUUACCACAGGGAUAACAGCGCAAUCUCUCUGGCGAGGCCAUAUUUGAGGAGGGGGUUGCGACCUCGAUGUUGAAUCAAAGUUUCUAUUAGGUGUAGCAGCUUAGUAAGUGGGACUGUUCGUCCUUUAAAGCUUUACGUGA
Molecule: ribosomal RNA, 451 nt
Filed under: Nuttallia tchangsii
Lineage: Eukaryota; Metazoa; Mollusca; Bivalvia; Cardiida; Psammobiidae
Description: Sanguinolaria tchangsii partial 16S ribosomal RNA
Rfam family: Bacterial large subunit ribosomal RNA
Source: RNAcentral